Molecule: long non-coding RNA, 797 nt
Filed under: Homo sapiens (human)
Lineage: Eukaryota; Metazoa; Chordata; Mammalia; Primates; Hominidae
Description: novel transcript, antisense to IL6ST
Source: RNAcentral
CCAGGUGGACUUGCUGACUGAUUAGUUUCAUAUACUACUUAGUAACCUCAAGAAGUAGCAGGAGGAUGCCAUGUAUCAAUCUUGAACUUCAAGUCUCACUGCAACAAGGAUGGAGACUCCAGCAGAGUGCAGGGUGGGCACAGACAGGCCACAAGAUGGCGCAGCACCUCCAUACUUGGGCUCUUGACAACCAAGUACUGCUGAAGUUGUAGCAGGAACUACUAGUCCUUCACUGAGGCAUGUAGCCGCCUUGCCGUACAGUCUGUGUACCUGGACCAAAAGCAUCUGCUGCAGAAACUUCCUGAAACAUUUUCAUUUGCCCAGAUCCACAGGAUUGUGAAAUAUGAUCUGAAAUCUGCUGUUUAAGUCUAACAAAAUCUUCCUCAUUGACUGAUGAAACUUGCUUUGACCUUUCAAAAUGUGAAAUAUCUGGACUGGAUUCAUGCUGACUGCAGUUCUGUUUGAAGUACUGUUGCCUGGGCAAAAUACCAUCACCGCCAUCUACAUGAUCUACUAAUUGUAGAUCUUCUGGCCGCUCCUCUGAAUCUAACAAGGGCUGGGUAGACUCGGAUCUUGAGAAGACUUGGACUGACGGAACUUGGUGUCUGUAGCCACUGUGUACCACGGUAGAAUACUGGACAGUGCUCGAAGUGUUUUGUGAAGAUUCAUUUUCAUCACUGCUAGAAAUGCUUGGCCUAGAAGAUGACAUGCAUGAAGACCCCCCAAUACCACUGCUGUGUCCUUCAGUAUUAAUUUUUUCCUUUUUGAACAGGUCCAAUGAUUUCAGAUCUUCUGGA